This 116-nucleotide ribosomal RNA is filed under the name Pteropus alecto (black flying fox). The record is from RNAcentral. Lineage: Eukaryota; Metazoa; Chordata; Mammalia; Chiroptera; Pteropodidae.
GUCUACAGCCAUGCCACCCUGAACAAGCCCAAUGUCUAAUUUCAGAAGCUAAGUAGGGUCGGGCCUGGUUAGUACUUGGGAGGGAGACCGCCUAGGAAGACCGAGUGCUGUAGGCA